AAGACCUUGCGCUUUUGGAGCGGCCGAUGCCUGAUUAGCUAGUUGGUGGGGUAAUGGCCUACCAAAGCUUCGAUCAGUAGCUGGUCUGAGAGGACGGCCAGCCACACUGGGACUGAGACACGGCCCAGACUCCUACGGAAGGCAGCAGUGGGGAAUUUUGGACAAUGGGCGCAAGCCUGAUCCAGCCAUGCCGCGUGAGUGAAGAAGGCCUUCGGGUUGUAAAGCUCUUUCAGCCGGGAAGAAAAGGUUGCGAUUAAUAAUCGCAAUUUAUGACGGUACCGGAAGAAGAAGCACCGGCUAACUACGUGCCAGCAGCCGCGGUAAUACGUAGGGUGCGAGCGUUAAUCGGAAUUACUGGGCGUAAAGGGUGCGCAGGCGGUUUUGUAAGUCAGAUGUGAAAUCCCCGGGCUUAACCUGGGAACU
RNAcentral lists this ribosomal RNA (423 nucleotides) under uncultured bacterium. RNAcentral describes it as "bacterial SSU rRNA". It matches the Rfam family "Bacterial small subunit ribosomal RNA", at positions 207 to 622 of the family's 1533-position model. The record is from RNAcentral.